RNAcentral lists this ribosomal RNA (166 nucleotides) under uncultured bacterium. RNAcentral's name for it is "partial 16S rRNA". It matches the Rfam family "Bacterial small subunit ribosomal RNA", at positions 355 to 511 of the family's 1533-position model. The record is from RNAcentral.
UAGGGAAUCUUCGGCAAUGGGGGCAACCCUGACCGAGCAACGCCGCGUGAGUGAAGAAGGUUUUUCGGAUCGUAAAGCUCUGUUGUAAGAGAAGAACGUGUGUGAGAGUGGAAAGUUCACACAGUGACGGUAACUUACCAGAAAGGGACGGCUAACUACGUGCCGG